AAAGUCGUAACAAGGUCUCCGUUGGUGAACCAGCGGAGGGAUCAUUACCGAGUUUACAACUCCCAAACCCCUGUGAACAUACCUUAUGUUGCCUCGGCGGAUCAGCCCGCGCCCCGUAAAAAGGGACGGCCCGCCGCAGGAACCCUAAACUCUGUUUUUAGUGGAACUUCUGAGUAUAAAAAACAAAUAAAUCAAAACUUUCAACAACGGAUCUCUUGGUUCUGGCAUCGAUGAAGAACGCAGCAAAAUGCGAUAAGUAAUGUGAAUUGCAGAAUUCAGUGAAUCAUCGAAUCUUUGAACGCACAUUGCGCCCGCCAGUAUUCUGGCGGGCAUGCCUGUUCGAGCGUCAUUUCAACCCUCAAGCCCAGCUUGGUGUUGGGAGCUGCAGUCCUGCUGCACUCCCCAAAUACAUUGGCGGUCACGUCGAGCUUCCAUAGCGUAGUAAUUUACAUAUCGUUACUGGUAAUCGUCGCGGCCACGCCGUUAAACCCCAACUUCUGAAUGUUGACCUCGGAUCAGGUAGGAAUACCCGCU
RNAcentral lists this ribosomal RNA (534 nucleotides) under Fusarium culmorum. Its description in RNAcentral is "eukaryotic LSU rRNA". The stretch from base 196 to 349 matches the Rfam family "5.8S ribosomal RNA". Lineage: Eukaryota; Fungi; Ascomycota; Sordariomycetes; Hypocreales; Nectriaceae. The record is from RNAcentral.